UCUAGAAUUUGCUAUUCUAAACUGUCUCUUUGUUAAUUAUAUGUAUAUCUAUACUCUCUAAAGUUCUUCCAAAUACUUCAUCUAUAUAUAUAAAAGGAUAAAGUUGCGGGCGCAGUGACUAUAACAACAAAACUAAACAUCCCAGAAAUACGAAACUUGGCAACACAAUGCAAAAGGCUUGCCUCCAGGUUACAACAACACAACCACACCACAAAACCACAAUCCAGACCCACAAAACUCACAACAACGCAUCAUGCGAUAACAACACAACUAAACGCCCCAGAAAUACAAAUUUGGCAACACAAUGCAAAAGCCUUGCCUCCCAGUUGUAACAACACAACCACACCACAAUCCGGACCCACAAAACUCACAACAACGCAUCGUGACUAUAACAAAUACAAAACUUGGCACACAACUAAACGCCCCAGAAAUACAAAACUUGGCAACACAACACAAAAAGCCUUGCCUCUCUAUUGUAACAACACAACCACACCACAAAACCACAAUCCAGACCCACAAAACUCACAACAACGCAUUGUGACUAUAACAAAUACAAAAUUUGACAACACAACUCAUCCACCUCCCCAAUCCCUACAUUCACACUUGGCUUCCAAAAAAACAAUUACAAUAAUAACAAUGACAACAACAACAACAAUAAGAAUCAACACCAUCACAGGCAAGAAACAGCCAGGCACUGAGGCUGAGAGGCCAGUCAGUGCUACACUGGGCCUCCAAAAAACAAUACAGUAGCAUCUAACUUAUCCAACCUUCAUGACCACAACAACAACAACAAUAAUAAACACCUACACAGGCAAAACAAAAAAAAGACUAUUGUACCACAAUAAAAAUAUAAACCGCACUCAGCAGAAUCAGACAUUACAACUAACAACAAACCAAAGACAACAGGGAUCUCAAGCAAUUAUCAAUCAACACAAAAAUUGAAGAAGGUAACAGACUUCAAAUACUACUACUAAUGUGAGUAUAAAGAAGGUGGAGGUCACAGCAUAAAUACAACCUAAUGUAGACUGACCAACACCACCAGACUAAGCCACAGCAACGCGUGGCCGGGCACAGCUAGUGGACUUAUAAAACACAUAACAUGAGAAAAUUAUUUCAUAUAUUAGAUUAUUCCUAUCA
This 1137-nucleotide long non-coding RNA is filed under the name Anolis carolinensis (green anole). RNAcentral describes it as "lncRNA (ENSACAG00000039457.1)". Lineage: Eukaryota; Metazoa; Chordata; Lepidosauria; Squamata; Anolidae. The record is from RNAcentral.